This 463-nucleotide ribosomal RNA is filed under the name uncultured bacterium. RNAcentral describes it as "partial 16S ribosomal RNA". It matches the Rfam family "Bacterial small subunit ribosomal RNA", at positions 28 to 507 of the family's 1533-position model. The record is from RNAcentral.
GAUGAACGCUGACAGAAUGCUUAACACAUGCAAGUCUUUGGCGAAUCUGUGCUUGCACAGGCUAGCCAAGGCGGACGGGUGAGUAACGCGUCAAGAACUUGCCCUGCAGACAGGGAUAACAGACGGAAACGACUGAUAACACCUGAUACAGUUGCCGGCACGCAUGUGCCUGGCAAUGAAAAGAGAUGCUGCAGGAGAGCUUUGCGUCCUAUUAGCUUGUUGGUGAGGUGACGGCUCACCAAGGCGAUGAUAGGUAGCCGGCCUGAGAGGGUGAACGGCCACGAGGGGACUGAGAUACGGCACUUACUCCUACGGGAGGCAGCAGUGGGGAAUAUUGGACAAUGGGGGCAACCCUGAUCCAGCAAUUCUGUGUGCACGAAGAAGGUUUUCGGAGUGUAAAGUGCUUUCAGCAGGGAAGAAGAAAGUGACGGUACCUGCAGAAGAAGCGACGGCUAAAUACGUG